RNAcentral lists this ribosomal RNA (921 nucleotides) under uncultured bacterium. RNAcentral's name for it is "bacterial SSU rRNA". It matches the Rfam family "Bacterial small subunit ribosomal RNA", at positions 1 to 909 of the family's 1533-position model. The record is from RNAcentral.
AAUUCGCCCUUAGAGUUUGAUCCUGGCUCAGGAUGAACGCUAGCUACAGGCUUAACACAUGCAAGUCGAGGGGCAGCAUGAACUUAGCUUGCUAAGUUUGAUGGCGACCGGCGCACGGGUGAGUAACACGUAUCCAACCUUCCGUUUACUCAGGGAUAGCCUUUCGAAAGAAAGAUUAAUACCUGAUAGUAUGGUGAGAUUGCAUGAUAGCACCAUUAAAGAUUUAUUGGUAAACGAUGGGGAUGCGUUCCAUUAGGUAGUAGGCGGGGUAACGGCCCACCUAGCCGACGAUGGAUAGGGGUUCUGAGAGGAAGGUCCCCCACAUUGGAACUGAGACACGGUCCAAACUCCUACGGGAGGCAGCAGUGAGGAAUAUUGGUCAAUGGGCGAGAGCCUGAACCAGCCAAGUAGCGUGAAGGAUGAAGGUCCUACGGAUUGUAAACUUCUUUUAUACGGGAAUAAAGUAUCCUACGUGUAGGAUUUUGUAUGUACCGUAUGAAUAAGCAUCGGCUAACUCCGUGCCAGCAGCCGCGGUAAUACGGAGGAUGCGAGCGUUAUCCGGAUUUAUUGGGUUUAAAGGGAGCGCAGACGGGAGAUUAAGUCAGUUGUGAAAGUUUGCGGCUCAACCGUAAAAUUGCAGUUGAUACUGGUUUCCUUGAGUGCAGUUGAGGCAGGCGGAAUUCGUGGUGUAGCGGUGAAAUGCUUAGAUAUCACGAAGAACCCCGAUUGCGAAGGCAGCUUGCUAAACUGUAACUGACGUUCAUGCUCGAAAGUGUGGGUAUCAAACAGGAUUAGAUACCCUGGUAGUCCACACGGUAAACGAUGGAUACUCGCUGUUGGCGAUAUACUGUCAGCGGCCAAGCGAAAGCAUUAAGUAUCCCACCUGGGGAGUACGCCGGCAACGGUGAAACUCAACAGGUA